AUUCAUACACAACAGAAGUUCACUCAGUCUCAGUGCUGUCAGUCAACCAUCAGCUGCUCUCAUAUUUUCAUUCAUUUCAUAAAACCACAUUCAGCAGAAUUUGGAGUUCAUAAUGAUUAUAUAAUGAAUCAAUUUAAAAAGUAUUAGAAACUAGAAAUCUGAUCUUUAUAGUGGACUUCAGUUAAGAUGGAGGAGAGGCAGAUGAUACUCAUAAUGUUCAUCACAGUUUCAGGCAUUUAUGCUGAUAGAAUUGGUCCAAGAGAAGGAGACACUAAUAUAAUCAGAGAAGAAGGAGAGUCUGUGACACUGAGCUGCACAUAUGAAACAACCAGCAAUAAUAUUUGGCUCUACUGGUACAGACAAUAUCCAAACAGAGAACCAGAAUAUAUACUGUUUAAAGGCGCUCGAUCAUUUAGCAGUGAGAAUAUACCAGAUGGGUUUCAGUCGACUACAUCCCAGACAUCCACUGAACUUACUAUUGUAAAAGCAGCUCUGUCAGAUUCUGCUCUUUAUUACUGUGCACUUCGAGUAGCCCAGUGAUACAAAAUACCAGAGAAGC
Molecule: non-coding RNA, 559 nt
Organism: Carassius auratus (goldfish)
Lineage: Eukaryota; Metazoa; Chordata; Actinopteri; Cypriniformes; Cyprinidae
Source: the annotation of a RefSeq genome assembly